Molecule: long non-coding RNA, 1123 nt
Filed under: Numida meleagris (helmeted guineafowl)
Lineage: Eukaryota; Metazoa; Chordata; Aves; Galliformes; Numididae
Description: lncRNA (ENSNMEG00000013615.1)
Source: RNAcentral
UAACCGCGGUGGCACCGCGCAGCCGGGCCCUGGGGUUAAGGUGGAGCCAGCGGUGGGGCAGGGCCGUGGGGCCGGCGUGGGGAUGGGGUCGGACAUGGGGAACUCCUGGGGAGCGCUCCAGGGCCGGUGGGGACACCCACAGGUGGGACCCGGGGAGAUGGGGGCUCCUUGAUGUCUCCAUGAUGUCCCCGUGGUGUCCACGCAAUGUCCCCAUGAUGAUGUCCGUGCAGUGUCCCUCAUAGUGUUCCCAUGAUGUCCCCGUAGUGACCCCAUAGGGUCCCCAUGGUCUCCCCAUGGUGUUCCCAUGAUGUCCUCGUGUUGUCCCCAUGGUGACCCCAAGGUGUCCCCAUGGUGUCCCCAAGGUGUCCCCAUAGUGUCCCUAUGGUUUCCCCAUGGUCUCCACAUGAUGCCUCCAUAGUGUCCCCAUGAUGUCCCCCAGAGUGUCCCCAUAGUGUCCCCAUGGUGUCCCCAUGGUGUCCCCAAGGUGUCCCUAUGGUUUCCCCAUGGUCUCCCCAUGAUGUUUCCAUAGUGUCCCCAUGAUGUCCCCGUGAUGUCUUGAUGGUGUCUCCGUGGUGUCCUUGUAUUGUCCCCAAGGUGUCCCCACAGUGUCCCCAUGGUGCCCCUGUGAUCUGCCCACGAUGUCCCUGCAGGGUCCCUGUAGCAUCCCCGCGGUGUCCCCACGAUGUCCCCGCAGUGUCCCCACGCUGCACUGACCGCGCACCGCACAGGGCGUGACCCCGGGCAGCGGAAGCCCCACCCCCUUGGGGGCGUGGCAUCGCAUGGGGGCGGAGCCAUCCCGCCCCCCCCCCUUUAGGCGGACCCACCCAACGGCUCCGCCCGCGGUGUGUUCCUCGCGCGUCCUCCGCUCCGCCGGGGGGCGCUGUAGCCCCUCGCUGCGCGGUUGCCAUACCAACGGCGCACGGCGGCGCGCUGCGAUGACGUAGAACGCAGAGCGCUGACGCAGCGCACCUCCGCCGGGGGAGGGGCCCACUUUUUUUUUUUUUUUUCUUUUUUUUUUUUUUUCCCCUCCCUCCCCCUCCCGUUCCUUUCCCCUUUUCUCCACGCUCCGUUUCCUCCCCCGUUCCGCGCUGGCCCAGGCCCGGCCCCAGGAGGUGGUGGAGGU